Molecule: transfer RNA, 72 nt
Filed under: Ornithorhynchus anatinus (platypus)
Lineage: Eukaryota; Metazoa; Chordata; Mammalia; Monotremata; Ornithorhynchidae
Rfam family: tRNA
About the family: Transfer RNA (tRNA) molecules are approximately 80 nucleotides in length. Their secondary structure includes four short double-helical elements and three loops (D, anti-codon, and T loops).
Source: Rfam by way of RNAcentral
AGCAGCGUGGCUCAGUGGAAAGAGCCCGGGCUUGGGAGUCAGAGGUCAUGGGUUCGAAUCCCAACUUUGCCA